GGGUCUAAUUAGAUUAGCUUACAUUUGCAAAAUUGAUAUGUUAGCACAUAUUGCAAAAACUAGGUCUCUGUUUUGAAUCGGAUUUGAAAUUGAUUCCAGAAUGGGAUAAUUAAGGCCAAAUUAAUUCAAAUCAAUUUUGGAUUUGAGUUGGAUUAGCCCUUAUCUAUAUGUAUCAAAAAUUUCAAGCCAAAAAAACUAAAUCUCCAUGAGUCAAGAAUUUUUCUUGUGCAUGGGUACAGUUUUUGUGCACAGAAACAGCUUUCACAUCCCA
Molecule: long non-coding RNA, 271 nt
Filed under: Elaeis guineensis (African oil palm)
Lineage: Eukaryota; Viridiplantae; Streptophyta; Magnoliopsida; Arecales; Arecaceae
Description: long non-coding RNA (EGUI_LNC052791)
Source: RNAcentral